This 371-nucleotide unclassified non-coding RNA is filed under the name fungal sp. RNAcentral describes it as "partial internal transcribed spacer region". The stretch from base 1 to 46 matches the Rfam family "Eukaryotic small subunit ribosomal RNA", at positions 1786 to 1831 of the family's 1831-position model. The record is from RNAcentral. Lineage: Eukaryota; Fungi.
AAGUCGUAACAAGGUUUCCGUAGGUGAACCUGCGGAAGGAUCAUUAACACUUUUAUUAACACUAAUAAACAAACUUCUGUGCACUGUUUUCAUCACUAAAAACAAUCAAAUCGCACAUGUGAUACUAGAGUCUCGUUUUCCGAGUUUUGGUAUCACUUGUACGUAAAAAGCAUCUGAAAGCAAAGUGGAGGCGUUUCGACGUUUCUUCUUUGUUUUUCGAUGCUUUUCUUUUUUUCUUUUUAAACACCAAUUCUAACAUAUCAUAUUUAACAUCGUGGUACAUUUCAUUUCAAUUCACUGAAUUGAACUGAAUCGUACUAACGUAACUGUUAAUUCAAACACAAGUCUUACCAGCGGAUAUCUCGGUUCCC